This is a long non-coding RNA of Tripterygium wilfordii, 850 nucleotides long. RefSeq lists it as uncharacterized. The transcript has 3 exons. The record is from RefSeq and is a predicted model, not a curated record. Lineage: Eukaryota; Viridiplantae; Streptophyta; Magnoliopsida; Celastrales; Celastraceae.
GAGAACUGACAAAGCCAAGAAUUAGCCCAUUAAUUUCCCUUUCAACGCGGUAGAAGUGAUUCAGUGUAUAAAUGGCAAAGGACGUGAGAUCUUCAACCGUUCAGGACCUUUGCACCUAAAAUCAGUGGACUGGGGAAAUCCCGACCAUAUAAGAUCCAUUCUUGCAAGCUUAAUACAGGGUGUGAAAAUCCAACAACGCGAUCGCAAGAAGAAGCGCCUUGAGCCUCAAUUUCAAGCUCCUCCUUGGUGGACCACCUUCAAUUUCAAGCUUGUUGACAGUCUAGUCGACCCAGACGACAACUCCAUCUUUGGUGCUAUUUAUGAACUCCAGUCCCUCACUUGCAAUGCCCCGAAAUAUGUAGUUGCUUUUCGUGGCACACUACUCAAGAAGGGCACUGCGUUGCGUGAUCUAGAGCUGGACCUCAAGUGCGUGCUGAACAAUCUCCACUAAACCUCACGCUUCGAGCUUGCAAUGCAGACCGUCAAGAGCACAGUUUCUGAACAUGGAGCUAAUAAUGUCUGGUUAACUGGAUAUUCUCUGGGGUCAGCUAUUGCAUUGCUUGCAGGUAAAGAAAUGGUCAAAAUUGACCAUCCUAUUGAAGCUUACCUCUUCAAUCCACCCUUCUUGUCUGCUGGGAUCGAAAGGAUCAUCAAUAACGAUAUGCUGAAGCAAGGGAUUCAUUUCACAAGCAGUUUUCUCAAGGAUGGACUUGCAAUUGCAAAGAAGGGUACUUCUAAUCCAGACGAGGAAUUUGUUAGAUUAUCUUCGUGGACUCCUAACUUAUUCGUGAAUCAGGCCGAUCUUAUCUGCUGUUCAUAUAUUGCUUAUUUCGAGGUCCUAAAGAAAUUG